GACGAACGCUGGCGGCGUGCUUAACACAUGCAAGUCGAGCGGUAAGGCCCUUUCGGGGGUACACGAGCGGCGAACGGGUGAGUAACACGUGGGUGACCUGCCCUCAGCUCUGGGAUAAGCCUGGGAAACCGGGUCUAAUACUGGAUAUGACUCCAUGACGCAUGUUGUGGGGUGGAAAGCCUUGUGCGGCUGAGGAUGGGCCCGCGGCCUAUCAGCUUGUUGGUGGGGUGANGGCCUACCAAGGCGACGACGGGUAGCCGGCCUGAGAGGGCGACCGGCCACACUGGGACUGAGACACGGCCCAGACUCCUACGGGAGGCAGCAGUGGGGAAUCUUGCGCAAUGGGCGAAAGCCUGACGCAGCGACGCCGCGUGAGGGAUGACGGCCUGGUUGU
This 394-nucleotide ribosomal RNA is filed under the name uncultured bacterium. Its description in RNAcentral is "bacterial SSU rRNA". It matches the Rfam family "Bacterial small subunit ribosomal RNA", at positions 28 to 426 of the family's 1533-position model. The record is from RNAcentral.